This 72-nucleotide transfer RNA is filed under the name Neurospora crassa. RNAcentral describes it as "tRNA-Ala (CGC) (tRNA-Ala-CGC-2 1 to 3)". It matches the Rfam family "tRNA". From Rfam's summary of the family: Transfer RNA (tRNA) molecules are approximately 80 nucleotides in length. Their secondary structure includes four short double-helical elements and three loops (D, anti-codon, and T loops). Further hydrogen bonds mediate the characteristic L-shaped molecular structure. tRNAs have two regions of fundamental functional importance: the anti-codon, which is responsible for specific mRNA codon recognition, and the 3' end, to which the tRNAs corresponding amino acid is attached (by aminoacyl-tRNA synthetases). tRNAs cope with the degeneracy of the genetic code in two manners: having more than one tRNA (with a specific anti-codon) for a particular amino acid; and 'wobble' base-pairing, i.e. permitting non-standard base-pairing at the 3rd anti-codon position. Lineage: Eukaryota; Fungi; Ascomycota; Sordariomycetes; Sordariales; Sordariaceae. The record is from RNAcentral. RNAcentral also lists the same sequence under 8 other names.
GGGCAAUUGGUCUAGGGGUAUGAUUUUCGCUUCGCAUGUGAAAGGUCACCGGUUCGAAUCCGGUAUUGUCCA